GACGAACGCUGGCGGCGUGCUUAACACAUGCAAGUCGAACGGAAAGGCCCUGCUUUUGUGGGGUGCUCGAGUGGCGAACGGGUGAGUAACACUUGAGUAACCUGCCCUUGACUUUGGGAUAACUUCAGGAAACUGGGGCUAAUAGCGGAUAGGAGCUCCCGCUGCAUGGUGGGGGUUGGAAAGUUUCGGCGGUUGGGGUUGGACUCGCGGCUUAUCAGCUUGUUGGUUGGGUAGUGGCUUACCAAGGCUUUGAGGGGUAGCCGGCCUGGGAGGGGGACCGGACACACUGGGACUGAGAUACGGCCCAGCCUCCUACGGGAGGCAGCGGUGGGGAGUAUUGCACAGUGGGCGGAAGCCUGAUGUAGCAAAGCAGCGUGCGGGGUGAGGGGCAUCGGGUUGUAAACCGCUUUCGCCUGUGACGAAGCGUGAGUGACGGUAAUGGGUAAAGAAGCACCGGCUAACUACGUG
Molecule: ribosomal RNA, 468 nt
Filed under: uncultured bacterium
Lineage: Bacteria
Description: partial 16S ribosomal RNA
Rfam family: Bacterial small subunit ribosomal RNA
Source: RNAcentral